UGCCGGGUCUCGGACGGUGAGUCCGUCUCGUAAAGUUGUCGAGGAAUCCAGCUGCCUUGUUGGAGAAGCUCCAGCAAUGAAGAGAGCCUAUAUUGAUGGGCUUUGAUCAACAGUUCCAGCUGAGCCUGGGCUUUAGCUAUGCAUAAAAACCCAGACAGAAGGUUUCCAGAAUUUUGGCAAGGCUGUUCCUAUCAAUAAUGGCCCUUUGGCCUGUCUUAAGAAUUGGUUCUACCACAAAGGUUCUACUUAAUGUGAAAAGAGCAAAAGCAUUGUGUCAUCA
Manis pentadactyla (Chinese pangolin) is the source of this 280-nucleotide long non-coding RNA. RefSeq lists it as uncharacterized. NCBI's taxonomy places the organism in Eukaryota, Metazoa, Chordata, Mammalia, Pholidota, Manidae. The record is from RefSeq and is a predicted model, not a curated record. The transcript is spliced from 3 exons.